UCCCAGACUCCUACGGGAGGCAGCAGUGAGGAAUAUUGGUCAAUGGCCGAGAGGCUGAACCAGCCAAGUCGCGUGAGGGAAGACGGCCCUACGGGUUGUAAACCUCUUUUGUCGGGGAGCAAAGCGAGUCACGUGUGACUCAUUGAGAGUACCCGAAGAAAAAGCAUCGGCUAACUCCGUGCCAGCAGCCGCGGUAAUACGGAGGAUGCGAGCGUUAUCCGGAUUUAUUGGGUUUAAAGGGUGCGCAGGCGGAGGUGCAAGUCAGCGGUCAAAUUGCGGGGCUCAACCCCGUACUGCCGUUGAAACUGCAACCCUUGAGUGCGCGAGAAGUAUGCGGAAUGCGUGGUGUAGCGGUGAAAUGCUUAGAUAUCACGAAGAACCCCGAUUGCGAAGGCAGCCUGCCGCAGCGUUACUGACGCUGAAGCUCGAAAGCGCGGGUAUCGAACAGGAUUAGAUACCCCCGUA
Molecule: ribosomal RNA, 465 nt
Filed under: uncultured bacterium
Lineage: Bacteria
Description: bacterial SSU rRNA
Rfam family: Bacterial small subunit ribosomal RNA
Source: RNAcentral